This 492-nucleotide ribosomal RNA is filed under the name uncultured bacterium. Its description in RNAcentral is "partial 16S ribosomal RNA". It matches the Rfam family "Bacterial small subunit ribosomal RNA", at positions 29 to 507 of the family's 1533-position model. The record is from RNAcentral.
AGUGAACGCUGGCGGUAGGCCUAACACAUGCAAGUCGAACGGCAGCACAGUAAGAGCUUGCUCUUACGGGUGGCGAGUGGCGGACGGGUGAGGAAUACAUCGGAAUCUACUUUUUCGUGGGGGAUAACGUAGGGAAACUUACGCUAAUACCGCAUACGACCUACGGGUGAAAGCAGGGGAUCUUCGGACCUUGCGCGAUUGAAUGAGCCGAUGUCGGAUUAGCUAGUUGGCGGGGUAAAGGCCCACCAAGGCGGCGAUCCGUAGCUGGUCUGAGAGGAUGAUCAGCCACACUGGAACUGAGACACGGCCCAGACUCCUACGGGAGGAAGCAGUGGGGAAUAUUGGACAAUGGGCGCAAGCCUGAUCCAGCCAUACCGCGUGGGUGAAGAAGGCCUUCGGGUUGUAAAGCCCUUUUGUUGGGAAAGAAAAGCAGCAGGUUAAUACCCCGCUGUUCUGACGGUACCCAAAGAAUAAGCACCGGCUAACUUCGUG